AACUUUUGGUAACGGAUCACUUGGCUCUCGCAUCGAUGAAGAACGCAGCGAAAUGCGAUACGUAAUGUGAAUGGCAGAAUUCAGUGAAUCAUCGAAUCUUUGAACGCACCUUGCGCCCCUUGGUAUUCCGAGGGGCACACCCGUUUGAGUGUCGUGACAAUCUCAACCUUCUCGGUUUCUUCUGGACACCGAAGGAGGCUUGGACUUUGGAGGCCUUUGCUGGUGUCUCUCACCAGCUCCUCUCAAAUGAAUGAGCGGGGUCCUCUUUGCCGAUCCUCGACAUGUGAUAAGAUGUUUCCAUGUCUUGGCUUUAUGGCUCUGUUGCCUUUGGGACCCGCUUCUAACCGUCUCAGCGAGACAACGUUCGAGCGUGUCUCCCCUCUCGGGGAAACACUCUUGAACCCACGAAACCUUGUCCUCACAUCGGGUGAGACUACCCGCUGA
This 444-nucleotide unclassified non-coding RNA is filed under the name uncultured Lactarius. RNAcentral describes it as "sequence contains ITS2". The stretch from base 1 to 154 matches the Rfam family "5.8S ribosomal RNA". The record is from RNAcentral. Lineage: Eukaryota; Fungi; Basidiomycota; Agaricomycetes; Russulales; Russulaceae.